GAUGAACGCUGGCGGCGUGCCUAAUACAUGCAAGUCGAGCGAACAGAUAAGGAGCUUGCUCCUUUGACGUUAGCGGCGGACGGGUGAGUAACACGUGGAUAACCUACCUAUAAGACUGGGAUAACUUCGGGAAACCGGAGCUAAUACCGGAUAACAUAUUGAACCGCAUGGUUCAAUAGUGAAAGGCGGCUUUGCUGUCACUUAUAGAUGGAUCCGCGCCGUAUUAGCUAGUUGGUAAGGUAACGGCUUACCAAGGCAACGAUACGUAGCCGACCUGAGAGGGUGAUCGGCCACACUGGAACUGAGACACGGUCCAGACUCCUACGGGAGGCAGCAGUAGGGAAUCUUCCGCAAUGGGCGAAAGCCUGACGGAGCAACGCCGCGUGAGUGAUGAAGGUCUUCGGAUCGUAAAACUCUGUUAUCAGGGAAGAACAAAUGUGUAAGUAACUGUGCGCAUCUUGACGGUACCUGAUCAGAAAGCCACGGCUAACUACGUG
RNAcentral lists this ribosomal RNA (497 nucleotides) under uncultured bacterium. RNAcentral describes it as "partial 16S ribosomal RNA". It matches the Rfam family "Bacterial small subunit ribosomal RNA", at positions 28 to 507 of the family's 1533-position model. The record is from RNAcentral.